GCCAAAAACCUAGCCCUAAUAACCCAAAUGUUACAACCAACCAAAAAAGACAUAAUAAAACAUUUUCUUAACUAAGUAAAGGCGAUUAAAAAGUUAAUAGGAGCAUUAAUGCAAGUACCGCAAGGGAAAGAUGAAAUAAAAAUGAAAUAAUUUUUAAGCCCAAUAAAGUAGAGAUAUUCCCUCGUACCUUUUGCAUCAUGAUCUAACUAGCACACCCAAGCAAAACGAACUUUAAGUUUGACCCCCCGAAACUAGAUGAGCUACUUCAAAACAGCCUUCAUGGGCCAACCCGUCUCUGUCGCAAAAGAGUGGGAAGAUUUUCAAGUAGAAGUGAUAGACCUAUCGAAUCUAGAGAUAGCUGGUUAUUCAGGAAAAGGAUAUUAGUCCAACUUUAAAUCUUCACAUACUGCCAAAUAUAUCAACAGAUUUAAAAUCCAUUCAAAUAAGGUUCAGCCUAUUUGAAGCAGGGUACAACCUACACCAUUGGGUAAUGUCUCAACUAACAUGAUCAAGUCGGCCUAAGAGCAGCCACCUUUAAAAAAGCGUCAUAGCUUUAUCAUACCUGUCACCAAUACCUCACAAAACUCAAAACCCCUCACUCAUACUGAAUGACUUCAUACAUAUAUGAAAAACCUUAUGUUAGAACUAGUAACAAGAAUAAUUAUUCUCCUAAACGUAAGUGUAAGCCGGACUGAACCACUCACCGGCAUUUACCGCCAAUGAACUAAAAGUAACAACCAACACAAGAAAACCCUACUUUUAAAAGCGUUAACCUUACACUAGAAUUUUUCUGGAAAGAUUAAAAAGAGAGGAAGGAACUCGGCAAAUAUUAACCCCGCCUGUUUACCAAAAACAUCGCCUUCUGACAACCAAUAGAAGGUCCCGCCUGCCCAGUGAAAAUUAAACGGCCGCGGUACUUUAACCGUGCAAAGGUAGCACAAUCACUUGUCCUUUAAAUAGGGACUAGUAUGAAUGGCACCACGAGGGUUAUACUGUCUCCCCACCUUAAUCAGUGAAACUAAUCUCCCCGUGAAGAAGCGGGGAUAAACCUAUAAGACGAGAAGACCCCAUGGAGCUUCAAACUAGGUAUCACUUGAAUUAAUUAAUAUCACUUAAAUUUAUCAAAUCUGCUUACUAGUUUUUGGUUGGGGUGACCGCGGAGUAAAACAAAACCUCCACGACGAAAGGGAUUAAUCCCCUAAUUUAAGAGCUACAACUCAUAGAAUCAAUAAAUUGACCCAAAUUGAUCCAAUAUAUUGAACAACGAACCAAGUUACCCUGGGGAUAACAGCGCAAUCCAUUUUAAGAGCUCCUAUCGACAAAUGGGUUUACGACCUCGAUGUUGGAUCAGGGUAUCCCAGUGGUGCAACCGCUACUAAAGGUUCGUUGUCAACGAUAA
This 1399-nucleotide ribosomal RNA is filed under the name Austrochaperina sp. BSFS 11377. RNAcentral describes it as "partial 16S ribosomal RNA". It matches the Rfam family "Bacterial large subunit ribosomal RNA", at positions 157 to 2590 of the family's 2925-position model. The record is from RNAcentral. Lineage: Eukaryota; Metazoa; Chordata; Amphibia; Anura; Microhylidae.